CUAAGACCCCGGAUGAAGCUGCCAUUGGGGCAAGUGAGCAGGGCCACUGAGGCUGGUCGGAUUUUAGUGUAACGGUGAAGGGGGGUCGAAGCGGAUAAACGUCUCUCUGGGUUCAUGUGGACGGGACAGCGUGGAGUUGCAGCAGCGCUACGACCAUAAACAAACUGUCCGCUGCCCGAGCAGAGUCACCGGCCAACGGCGGUUGCUAACUGUACUUAACUGUUAGCAAAGUAGCGCGGAGCAGCUUCUCCGGCUAUUAGCCGCACACACGGCGGACACUCUGAACGUCUUGCCAGGCUUCAACCACAACACCAGGUGGAUGAAUGAUGUCUGCGGCCAGUAUCGACCCUCAGACAUCGAAAGGACAAGAUGCAAGUAAAGCCUUUCCAGUUUCAGUGCAGAAUGGCUCCCUCCACCAGAAGGACACAGUCCAUGACAAUGACUUUGAGCCCUAUCUCACCGGCCAGUCCAACCAGAAUAACAGUUAUCAGUCCAUGACGGACCCAUACCUAUCCAGCUACUAUGCCCCCUCCAUUGGAUUUCCCUACCCUCUCAGUGAAGCUCCUUGGUCAACAGGAGGUGAUCCACCAAUUCCCUACCUGACACCCUAUGCCCCCCUCAGCAAUGGAGACCAUCACUUCAUGCACGACACAGUGUUUGGGCAGCCAGGAGGGCUCAGCAGCAGCAUCUAUCCUCACAGGUUUAAUUUUUUCCCAGAGAAUCCGGCCUUCUCUGCAUGGGGCACCAGUGGUUCUCAGGGCCAACAGACUCAGAGCUCAGCCUAUGGAGGGAGUUACAGUUACCCUCCUAGCUCUCUAGGGGGCACCUUAGUCCCAGAUGGCCAGACAGGUUUCCAUAGUGACACCUUGAGCAAGGCUCCAGGUAUGAACAGCCUAGAGCAGGGCAUGCUGGGCCUAAAGAUAGGUGGGGAUGUGACAGGAAGUGGCUCGGGUGUGAAAGGUGCAGGCUCUGUGAUUGGUGGAGGUGGCAGCGUAGCUGCAGCUGUUGCUGCUGGCAAUGGUGGGACGCCAAUCGGAAUGCCCCCUCCAAAACCUACAUCGUGGGCUGCUAUUGCGAGUAAACCUGCCAAGCUGCAGCAGCAAAAGACCAAGAACAAACCCGGCACACCUAUACCUGGAGGAAGUCUGCCUCCACCCACCAUUAAACACAACAUGGACAUUGAUUCAUGGGAUAAUAAAGGGACUGCUCCCAAGAUAGCCCCUCCUUUGCCACAUCACCACCACCAUCACCACCACCAUCAACAGCACCAGCCACAGCUUCACUCCCAUGCUCCCAGUCUCCUCCCUCCCCUUCAACAAUCCAUACAGUCUGCCCAGUCCCUGGUGCAGCAGAUGACCAUGCAGGGUCCUCCACCCCCUCCACAGCCUUAUCACAACCACAACUCUGCUCCAACACCUCAGACCCGAUGGGUUGCCCCACGCAACCGCAACUUGUGCUAUGGUGGUGGAAGCUUGGAUAGCAGUGGCUCCUCUAAUGGUGGCGGCAUCGGUAACGGAGGUGGAGUGGGAUUGCUUCCAGAGCCAGGAUUGGAGUCUCACCCUGUGCUGGAGAAGCUACGAGCGGCCCAUAGCUAUAACCCUAAGGAGUUUGACUGGAACCUGAAGAACGGUCGCGUGUUCAUCAUCAAGAGCUACUCCGAGGACGACAUCCACCGCUCCAUCAAGUAUUCAAUCUGGUGCAGCACAGAGCAUGGAAACAAGCGUUUGGACUCAGCCUUCAGAGUGAUGAACUCAAAAGGCCCUGUCUAUUUGUUGUUCAGUGUCAAUGGCAGCGGCCAUUUCUGCGGUGUGGCGGAGAUGCGCUCACCUGUGGACUAUGGCACCAGUGCUGGUGUUUGGGCGCAGGACAAGUGGAAGGGCAAGUUUGAUGUGAACUGGUUGUUUGUUAAGGACGUGCCUAAUAGCCAGCUGCGACACAUUCGCCUGGAAAACAAUGACAACAAGCCAGUGACCAACUCUCGUGACACUCAAGAGGUUCCUUUGGAGAAGGCGAAGCAGGUGCUCAAGAUUAUUGCCCAGUACAAACACACCACCUCCAUCUUUGAUGACUUCUCCCACUAUGAGAAGAAGCAGGAGGAGGAGGAGGUGGUGAAAAAGGUGUGCACUGUGCCCGAUGGCUGUGUCGGCGAGAUACGGGGCCUGACACGUGACGAUGAACAACAACAUCGGAUGUGACACAACAGACAACGGGCUAUGAGCCUGCCCCAAUACAGAACCGAUCCAGAAUCGAUCAGGAUCGUCAGAAGUAAACGUAAGAAGACGACUUCUGAAAGCUUCGAUCAGUGGUUGUACUCGGAUGGACAUACUAAAAUUUAAAGAUUUAAAAAGUUAACACACGGACAUAUAGAAAUUGAAAACUAAUAUGUUUUUCUAUUUAAUUAUUUUGACUUUGGCCCAUGUCAAAACAUUUGAGCCACAUUGCUCCUGGUUCCCAAACUUUAAGAUGAGUGCAGGGAUGAAGCUAGUUCCACCAGGUGAAUCGCUUUAAUAAUAUAUAUUAUUUUCCUGUUCUGUUUUGGUUUUUUUAGCCUUUUAAAUCUCUAUCGCUCCCCCCAGAACUUGCAUUCUUAAACUUAAUAUAAAUAUCUGCACGUCUGUUUUGAAAAUCUCUUGACAACAUGCUGCUGAUAUUCAGUGACUGUUCACUUUGUGGUGUGUGUGUUGGAGAAAUGUUAAAGUGCUUGUAUUGGUUAAUCUUAAUGAGUGAACAACACUUAAUUGACAAAUGUCUGCUAUCUGUUUGUGGCCAGUUGUAUUUUAUAUUAUUAGAAGGAAAGACACUUCUAUGACGGCCCUCUUAUGUUUUCAUGUCUGGGCUGUUCUACCUUGGUAGAGGAAUGUGACACUGAGAGUUUCUGUAUGCAUAGGCCUAAAUGUGCAAGGUUGUGACCGUAGAAAAGCAUAAGUGUUAGUAUUUUGAAGAGAAAAAAAAAAGACCAACUUGCUUCUAAUUGAUAUCAGUGUAACAUUAAGGUGCAGAAAAUUUAGAUUUUAUUUUUUCUCAGAUUGGAGCCUUAACAUUUCUUUUAAGCAGUAGAAUAAAUGACUUUGUUUCUCCUUAACACUGUACUUUAAAACUCGUCAGCUAGACAUUCAGGGAAAAGAUGUCCAGUUAACAAAAGCUCAAAAAGACAGUCCCCCCCCCCUUUUUUUUUUUAUCUAAAGGAAUGAAAUUCACAUAAUCUGUAUCGCUUACAGUUUGUUUUCCGUUUCCCUAAUCCAGUGACUUUGAUUUCCCCCUCUGUUCCCAUCUGCUCCAACAGAGCGUCUGUCCGUGAGAUUCUGAAGGAAAUGUAGCAUGUACUGCUUUUAAAACUCAAAGCCAGGCCUGUCCUUUUGGUUCUUUGCUUUUUUUUUGUUCUUUCUUAACAUCAUAUUGAUCUCAGCAUUUUCAUUGCUAUAACCUUUCCACGUCAUCCCCCACGAAAAUGUAAGCUUUAAUGUACCGGCAUUUCUAACUAAGAUCGCCUCAAAAUGUUAACUGUAGCAUUAUAUUUAACCGAUUUAUUGUCAAGUGUAUGAACACCCAGAGACUAGCCUAUUAUGGUAUACGUUUGUGACUUCUUCUUUCUUUUUUUUAAUUGCUUGCUGUAUUGUGUGUAUGUGUAUGUAUGCUGGAGUGAAAGAAACAAGGGAGUACGACUGUGGAGCAAUCAGAGUUAUAUUACGGUAUUGGAAUAUAGAAAAUUUAUUCAAGGAAAAAAAAAAGUUUUAAGUCACCCCUGAAUUAAAUAUCCAUUGUGUCAGAGGUCACUGUCACAUUCUUAGAUUUGAUCAUGUUCAUUAUUAAAGAUAUUAUUACCUGUU
Molecule: RNA transcript, 3827 nt
Organism: Solea solea (common sole)
Lineage: Eukaryota; Metazoa; Chordata; Actinopteri; Pleuronectiformes; Soleidae
Gene: ythdf1
Gene name: YTH N6-methyladenosine RNA binding protein F1
Exons: 7
Source: RefSeq, a predicted model, not a curated record